This 254-nucleotide ribosomal RNA is filed under the name uncultured bacterium. RNAcentral describes it as "partial 16S ribosomal RNA". It matches the Rfam family "Bacterial small subunit ribosomal RNA", at positions 524 to 776 of the family's 1533-position model. The record is from RNAcentral.
UACGUAGGCAGCGAGCGUUGUUCGGAGUUACUGGGCGUAAAGGGCGCGUAGGCGGUCAGCACAAGUCAGUUGUGAAAUCUCCGGGCUUAACUCGGAACGGUCAAGUGAUACUGUCGGACUAGAGUACAGAAGGGGCAACUGGAAUUCUCGGUGUAGCGGUGAAAUGCGUAGAUAUCGAGAGGAACACCUGCGGCGAAGGCGGGUUGCUGGGCUGAUACUGACGCUGAGGCGCGAAAGCCAGGGGAGCAAACGGG